Molecule: ribosomal RNA, 254 nt
Filed under: uncultured prokaryote
Description: partial 16S ribosomal RNA
Rfam family: Bacterial small subunit ribosomal RNA
Source: RNAcentral
UACGGAGGAUGCGAGCGUUAUCCGGAUUUAUUGGGUUUAAAGGGUGCGUAGGCGGCUUUUUAAGUCAGCGGUGAAAUUUUGCAGCUUAACUGUAACAGUGCCGUUGAUACUGGGGAGCUAGGAUUUGGUUGCUGUGGGUGGAAUGUGUGGUGUAGUGGUGAAAUGCUUAGAGAUCACACAGAAUAUCGAUUGCGAAGGCAGCUCACAAAGCCAUGAUUGACGCUGAGGCACGAAAGUGUGGGGAUCAAACAGGA